GCCUCCGUAGCUCAGCGGAUAGAGCGAGUCACUUCUAAUGACUGGGUCGCAGGUUCGAGUCCUGCCGGGGGCGCCU
RNAcentral lists this transfer RNA (76 nucleotides) under Knoellia flava TL1. RNAcentral's name for it is "tRNA-Arg". It matches the Rfam family "tRNA". From Rfam's summary of the family: Transfer RNA (tRNA) molecules are approximately 80 nucleotides in length. Their secondary structure includes four short double-helical elements and three loops (D, anti-codon, and T loops). The record is from RNAcentral. Lineage: Bacteria; Bacillati; Actinomycetota; Actinomycetes; Micrococcales; Intrasporangiaceae.